CAGUCGCCACGGUAAUACGAGGGGGGCAAGCGUUGUUCGGAAUUAUUGGGCGUAAAGGGCGCGUAGGCGGUUUGGCAAGUUUGGUGUGAAAUCUUCGGGCUCAACUCGAAGUCUGCACCGAAAACUGCCGGGCUUGAGUAUGGGAGAGGUGAGUGGAAUUUCCGGUGUAGCGGUGAAAUGCGUAGAUAUCGGAAGGAACACCUGUGGCGAAAGCGGCUCACUGGACCAUUACUGACGCUGAGGCGCGAAAGCUAGGGGAGCAAACAGGAUUAGAUACCCCAGUAGUCCCUGUCUCUUAUAC
This 301-nucleotide ribosomal RNA is filed under the name uncultured bacterium. RNAcentral's name for it is "partial 16S ribosomal RNA". It matches the Rfam family "Bacterial small subunit ribosomal RNA", at positions 509 to 807 of the family's 1533-position model. The record is from RNAcentral.